Molecule: non-coding RNA, 427 nt
Organism: Pelodiscus sinensis (Chinese soft-shelled turtle)
Lineage: Eukaryota; Metazoa; Chordata; Testudines; Trionychidae
Source: RefSeq, a predicted model, not a curated record
AGAAGUGGGGGGGGAGGGGGAGCUGGUAUUGGUCCUGCUCUUAGCUGUGCAGCUUGACUGCAAAGUAGGAGCAGUCUGCUGCUGAGGAAGCCAUGGCUGUGCCACUGUACAUUAUUCUGCCCGCCUGACCAUCUUGACUGAGUGAUUUUGGUCAAUGAACUUUUACUUCUAUGGAGUUACUUCAGUUAAUUUGAAGAGAAAGCUAUGAUUACACAGAGCAAAAGAAGCAAGAAAAGACAAAGGGAAAGGUGGUAGAGUCCUUCCUUAUUCUUCUCUGGUAAAAUGUGAUGUGAUAUACUUGCCUCAUGAUCAUUAAAGAUGUUCCCAGACCCAGAGAAGAGCUGUGGGAAAGCUUGUCUCCCUUGCCCACAGAAGCUGGGAAAUACAUUACCUCACCCACCAAAUAUCCUGGGAUUGAUGUGGCUAC